UGGGGAAUUUUGGACAAUGGGGGAAACCCUGAUCCAGCCAUCCCGCGUGUGCGAUGAAGGCCUUCGGGUUGUAAAGCACUUUUGGCAGGAAAGAAACGUCAUGGAUUAAUACCCCGUGAAACUGACGGUACCUGCAGAAUAAGCACCGGCUAACUACGUGCCAGCAGCCGCGGUAAUACGUAGGGUGCAAGCGUUAAUCGGAAUUACUGGGCGUAAAGCGUGCGCAGGCGGUUCGGAAAGAAAGAUGUGAAAUCCCAGAGCUCAACUUUGGAACUGCAUUUUUAACUACCGGGCUAGAGUGUGUCAGAGGGAGGUGGAAUUCCGCGUGUAGCAGUGAAAUGCGUAGAUAUGCGGAGGAACACCGAUGGCGAAGGCAGCCUCCUGGGAUAACACUGACGCUCAUGCACGAAAGCGUGGGGAGCAAACAGG
This 429-nucleotide ribosomal RNA is filed under the name Acidobacteriota bacterium. RNAcentral describes it as "Acidobacteria bacterium partial 16S ribosomal RNA". It matches the Rfam family "Bacterial small subunit ribosomal RNA", at positions 355 to 776 of the family's 1533-position model. The record is from RNAcentral. Lineage: Bacteria; Pseudomonadati; Acidobacteriota.